RNAcentral lists this unclassified non-coding RNA (374 nucleotides) under soil metagenome. RNAcentral's name for it is "partial internal transcribed spacer 1". The stretch from base 1 to 120 matches the Rfam family "5.8S ribosomal RNA", at positions 35 to 154 of the family's 154-position model. The record is from RNAcentral.
GAUGAAGAACGCAGCGAAAUGCGAUAAUUAAUGUGAAUUGCAGAAUUCCGUGAAUCAUCGAGUCUUUGAACGCACAUUGCGCCUCAUGGCAUUCCGUGAGGCAUGCCCAUCUCAGCGUUAGAAAAUAUUCUCAAAUUUUAGUUUUGUGCUAAAAUUUGGAUCAUGUCAAGGAAGCUAUUACUAUUAUUGUGAUCGCUCUUUGGAAAUUGAUAGGUCUUUGAGUUGCUACUCAUAGAACGUGAUGAAUCUUUCUUCGUUCUAUUGUAAUUCACUCUGGUAGUCCUAAAACUUGUAUGCCUGUGGCAUAUCUUGUAAUUUGACCUGAGAUUGGGUAGGGAUCCCCGCUGAACUUAAGCAUAUCAAUAAGCGGAGGA